UACAGAGGUCCCGAGCGUUGUUCGGAUUUAUUGGGCGUAAAGAGCGUGUAGGCGGCCAGGUAGGUCUGCUGUGAAAACUCGAGGCUCAACCUCGAGACGUCGGCGGAAACCAUCUGGCUAGAGUCCGGAAGAGGAGAGUGGAAUUCCUGGUGUAGCGGUGAAAUGCGCAGAUAUCAGGAAGAACACCCGUGGCGAAGGCGGCUCUCUGGGACGGUACUGACGCUGAGACGCGAAAGCGUGGGGAGCGAACAGG
Molecule: ribosomal RNA, 253 nt
Filed under: uncultured bacterium
Lineage: Bacteria
Description: partial 16S ribosomal RNA
Rfam family: Bacterial small subunit ribosomal RNA
Source: RNAcentral